UGCCCAGCAACUCCUAUCCCUACCUCCUCCUGGUACUGGCCGGGGUACGAGUAACCUUGGGGAAGAUCGGGUAACCAACCCCUGGUGGGAACUUUGGUCGUAUGCUGACAGGGAAGG
This is a non-coding RNA of Aedes aegypti (yellow fever mosquito), 117 nucleotides long. The record is from Rfam. Lineage: Eukaryota; Metazoa; Arthropoda; Insecta; Diptera; Culicidae.